GUACGGUCGCAAGACUAAAACUCAAAGGAAUUGACGGGGGCCCGCACAAGCAGCGGAGCGUGUUGCUUAAUUCGAUGCUACGCGAAGAACCUUACCUAGGUUUGACAUGUUUGGAAAAGCAACAGAGAUGUUGUGUCCGCAAGGGCCAAACACAGGUGGUGCAUGGCUGUCAUCAGCUCGUGUCGUGAGAUGUUGGGUUAAGUCCCGCAACGAGCGCAACCCUUAUCCAAUGUUGCCAGCAAGUUAUGUUGGGGACUCAUUGGAGACUGCCGGGGUUAACUCGGAGGAAGGUGGGGAUGACGUCAAGUCCUCAUGCCCCUUAUGUCUAGGGCUGCAAACACGCUACAAUGGCCGAUACAAAGGGUUGCCUGCUCGCGAGAGUUAGCUAAUCCCGUAAAGUCGGUCUCAGUUCGAAUUGAAGUCUGCAACUCGACUUCAUGAAGCUGGAGUUGCUAGUAAUCCCGGAUCAGCACGCCGGGGUGAAUACGUUCCCGGGCCUUGUACACACCGCCCGUCACACCACGAAAGUCGGCAACACCCAAAGCCGGUGGCCUAACCGCAAGGAAGGAGCCGUCUAAGGUGGGGUCGGUGAUUGGGGUG
RNAcentral lists this ribosomal RNA (600 nucleotides) under uncultured bacterium. RNAcentral describes it as "bacterial SSU rRNA". It matches the Rfam family "Bacterial small subunit ribosomal RNA", at positions 880 to 1482 of the family's 1533-position model. The record is from RNAcentral.